RNAcentral lists this ribosomal RNA (405 nucleotides) under Triticum aestivum (bread wheat). Its description in RNAcentral is "partial small subunit ribosomal RNA". The record is from RNAcentral. Lineage: Eukaryota; Viridiplantae; Streptophyta; Magnoliopsida; Poales; Poaceae.
AUGCUUCAAAAGUAUCAAUCGAAGAAGGCAAAAAUCACCAAAACAAACUUUGUUGCUUACCUGUGCAAGGAUAUGAGAAGGGGGUUACAGCUAGUUCUCCAGAUUUCCGAAGUGAACUUUCAAUACGUAAGGUCGCCGCACCGCGCCUCCUUCUGUCCCUCACCUCCAUGUCUUCUUUCUGCCCAGGAGUCGCGGAUGCCAUGGAUCCACCUGGGAAGACGCGCUCCGACCUUCCUCGUCGUCACCAGCGACCCUCUCCUCGUCGCCCAUCUCUGGAUCCGCCUCCCCAACCCCUACCGCGCACGGAUCUGGACCCUUCAAGCUCCAGCAUCCACCGCUAUUCUGCAUCUAGCAGUCGUGCCGCCCCUAGUCACUCGAGCCGCCACGUUAUCCGGCCCAGAUUAG